Mercenaria mercenaria is the source of this 1110-nucleotide long non-coding RNA. RefSeq lists it as uncharacterized. The transcript has 3 exons. The record is from RefSeq and is a predicted model, not a curated record. Lineage: Eukaryota; Metazoa; Mollusca; Bivalvia; Venerida; Veneridae.
CAAUGCAAAAUAUACUUUCUUAACUUUAAUUUAGUUCAAAACUUUUGUUUUGGAAACACUAUUUACCGGGUCGCAUCUGUUUCUGAAAAUAGCAACUUUCGGAAAAACCCAAAGGUCGCGCAUGUUUUCAGGUCGGCUGCCAUUUUGAAAUUUGUGAAAACAAGAGGAUACACAGUAUCGUCAAAAAUCAAUGUAACUGUUGAUUUAUAUAACUGUUGAUUAAAAAGCAUGGAAACGAUUAAAAUGAAAUGAUUGUUUAAUCAUAACAUGUGGUGAGACUGAUCAUUGAUAAGUGACCUGAUGGUCGACCGGACAAUAAAUUAUCAAGUGCUGUUUUCUAUUGGAGGAGAUGAUUGCAUGUACGGGCAUUGGGCUGGGAAAAUCAAACCCUGGCGAUUAAACACUGACUACCCUAAAACCCGACGAAAGUGGAAGACCUGAAAGACUAUGUGACAAUGUGGUGUAAAAAGAAGUAUGGUGCAGCCAACUGAUGCUAGGCGGAAUCUGGAAAUAACAGAAAGAAUUGGAUAUACGCCAAUAAGUUUGCCAAAAAAGGAAUAAAUAUUCAGUGAAAAUGACUUCAGUGUAUACUUCUCUAGUGUUAAACGGCAGUUGCAUUUAAUGGAAUAAUUCUUAUUUUGAAUUUUAUAUAUAUUUAGCAGAUUAGAAAGCUUCAAAGGUAUUUCUAUCAUUCGUUUCUAAUUUGUCAUGUAAAAGUCAUUUUCAUGUUAUUAUUUUGAAUUCUGUAAAUUAAAUUAUUUACAAAGAAUUCUCUGCUACGUUUCAUCUUUUUAUGUUUUGAGUUGAAUACUUAAAGUGGCUUUUUCACUACUGUGAAAUGACCUAUUAACAGUAUACAAUUAGUAUAGUAUUAAGAGUAUACAAUUGGUAUAGUAUUUGCAGUAUAUAAUUAGUAUACUAUUGACCAUCCGUUGCAAUCAAUUUGCAUAUCAUUACACAGUUUGAUUAGUAAUAGUAUCUUGAUAGUAGUUUGUUAUAGUAUACUAUUAGCUCAUUUGCAUGUGAAAUUUUUACUAAUUCUAUACUAAUGGUAUACUGUAUACGAUUAGUUGUUUGUUAUAGUAGUUUGUUACCCUGUUUUUUUCGUUU